Acinonyx jubatus (cheetah) is the source of this 2223-nucleotide long non-coding RNA. RefSeq lists it as uncharacterized. NCBI's taxonomy places the organism in Eukaryota, Metazoa, Chordata, Mammalia, Carnivora, Felidae. The transcript is spliced from 2 exons. The record is from RefSeq and is a predicted model, not a curated record.
UCAGCAGGAGGGCUGCCUGGGUAAGAGGAAGCACUGAGCCGAUGGGUAUAAGGCCAUGGGUGAGCUACCAGGAAAGAGGGGGGGACAGUGGGGGUAGAGCACUGAGAUAGUUGGGGGGAAGUAUAACAAACUACUAAAUUGUUUUGGCUGCAUAAUUCUUCAUAGUCUUUCCUAGUAGGGAGCCGGGGGUGGGCGCGGGGGGCGGGGGGGAGCAGUGGGCAGGGGAAGACACACACGGGGAAGAGCUUACUUGCACAGAGCCCACCAGUAAGCUUGUAGGUAUGAAUGCCAUUGUUAUUGUUUCAAAGCCAAAGGACAUUCAGAGCCUCAAGGUUGAGGAACUGUGUUUAACCAGACAUGUGACACUCACGUUCUUUCUCUUCAUAACAUUGUCUGACUGGAUAUUAACUAGUGUUACACAAACCCGACAUGUUAAUGGGCCUGAAAAAACGUAGAAGAAUGGGCUGGAAUAGGAAGAAUAGGGGAGUUUCCAAGGCAAGAACAAAAACGCAUGGCUCCCAGCCGCACCGCUAACUCCCUCUGACCUCCGUUGUGGAAGAGUUUGAAUCUUCGCUCCCCUUUUCUCCACCUACUAACAUGUUUAUCUUCUGGCAACUGGUUCUCUAUUUAUCACAACGUGGUUCUUUUUUUUUUUUUUUUCAAAUUGAGAUAUAGUCCGCAUAAUAGAAUAUGCAACGUUCUAAAGUAUAUAGUCCAAUGGUAUACUUCGACAGACAAUAAUCACUGCUAAUUCCAGAACAUUGUCAUCACGCCCCUCAAAAGAAAUACCAUACCCAUCAGCCUUUACUCCCCAUUCUCCCCUCCUCCCAGACCCCUGGCAACAACUAAUUUACCUUCUGCCCCUAUGGAUUUGCCUAUUCUGGACAUUUCAUCGAAAUGUGUGUCUAGUUUCUUUCACAUAGCUUGUUGGCUUCAAGAUUUACCCGGUUGUAGCAUGUUUCAGUACUUCAUUCUUUUUUUUAAUGUUUAUUUAUUUUUGAAAGAGAGCGCACACACAAGCGGGGAAGGGGCAGAGGGAGAGGGGGACAGAGGAUCCAAAACCACAGAGCCUGAUGUAGAGCUCGAACUCAUGAACUGUGAGAUGACGACCUGAGCCAAAGUCAGAUGCUUAACCGACUGAGCCACCCAGGUGCUCCAAUCACAUUUUGUUCAUGCAUUCAUGAGUUAUUGGACAUUUGGAUUAUUUUGACUUUUUGGCUCUUAUGAAUAAUGCUGCUAUGAGUAUUCAUGUACAAGUUUUUGUGUGGUCAUAUGUUUUUAAUUCUCUUGGGUACAUAGCUAAGAGGGGAAUUGCUGGGUCAUGUAGUAACUCUAUAUUUAACCCUUUUGAGGAACUGCCAAACUGUUUUCCACAGUGACUACACCAUUUUACAUUCCCACCAAUGUAUGAAGAUUCUGGUUUCCCCAAAUCUUGCUACCACUUAUCAUUGUCUCUCUGUUCGAUCAUAGCCAUCUUAGUGAGUGUAGAGUAGUAUCUCAUUGUAGCUUUGAUUUAUAUUUCCCUAAUGACCUAAGACAUUGAGCAUCUUUUCCUGUGCUUAUUGGCCAUUCAUGUAUUUUCUUUGGCGAAAUGUCUCUUCAAAUCCUUUACCCAUUUAAACAUUUGAUUAUUUGUCUUUUUACUGAGUUUUAAGAGUUCUUUAUAUAUUCUGGAUAUUCUGGAUACUAGACUUGUAUCAGACAUAUGAUAGUUUGGGGUUGUUUUGUUAUUUUUAAAUAAAGUCCAGUUUAUCUAUUUUUCCUUUGGUUUGUUGUGCUUUUUGUGUCAUGUCUAAGAAACUGUUGCCUAAAUCCAAGGUCAUAAAGAUUUCUCUCCUGAGAGUUUUAUAGCUCUCCUGAGAGCUCUUCCAUUGAGGUCUUUGACUCAUUUUGAGUUAAUAUUUAUAUAUGGUGUGAAGUGUAGGAAUCCAACUACAUUAUUUUGUAUGGGGGUAUACGUUCAAUUUGGGGUAUAGUGCCAUUUUAACAAUAUUUUCUUCUGAUCCGUGAACAUGGCAUAUCUUUACAUUUAUUUCAAUCUUCUUUAAUUUCUUUCAACAACGUUUUGUGGUUUUUAGUGUGAUUCUUGCACUUCUUUGGUUAAAUGUUUUCCUAAGUAUUUUAUUCUUUUGAGUACUGUUACACAUGGAAUUGUUUUCUUAAUUUCAUCUUUGGAAUAGUCAUUGCUGAUGUAUAGAAAUAAAGCUAAUUUUUACAUAUCGA